GCCUGGUAGCGGGGGAUAACUAUUGGAAACGAUAGCUAAUACCGCAUAACAGUAGAUAUUGCAUGAUAUCUGCUUGAAAGGUGCAAUUGCAUCACUACCAGAUGGACCUGCGUUGUAUUAGCUAGUUGGUGAGGUAACGGCUCACCGAGGCGACGAUACAUAGCCGACCUGAGAGGGUGAUCGGCCACACUGGGACUGAGACACGGCCCAG
This 211-nucleotide ribosomal RNA is filed under the name uncultured Streptococcaceae bacterium. RNAcentral describes it as "partial 16S ribosomal RNA". It matches the Rfam family "Bacterial small subunit ribosomal RNA", at positions 128 to 334 of the family's 1533-position model. The record is from RNAcentral. Lineage: Bacteria; Bacillati; Bacillota; Bacilli; Lactobacillales; Streptococcaceae.